RNAcentral lists this ribosomal RNA (512 nucleotides) under Salmonella enterica subsp. enterica serovar Infantis. Its description in RNAcentral is "partial 23S ribosomal RNA". It matches the Rfam family "Bacterial large subunit ribosomal RNA", at positions 711 to 1220 of the family's 2925-position model. Lineage: Bacteria; Pseudomonadati; Pseudomonadota; Gammaproteobacteria; Enterobacterales; Enterobacteriaceae. The record is from RNAcentral. RNAcentral also lists the same sequence under 3 other names.
AGACCCGAAACCCGGUGAUCUAGCCAUGGGCAGGUUGAAGGUUGGGUAACACUAACUGGAGGACCGAACCGACUAAUGUUGAAAAAUUAGCGGAUGACCUGUGGCUGGGGGUGAAAGGCCAAUCAAACCGGGAGAUAGCUGGUUCUCCCCGAAAGCUAUUUAGGUAGCGCCUCGUGAAUUCAUCUCCGGGGGUAGAGCACUGUUUCGGCUAGGGGGCCAUCCCGGCUUACCAACCCGAUGCAAACUGCGAAUACCGGAGAAUGUUAUCACGGGAGACACACGGCGGGUGCUAACGUCCGUCGUGAAGAGGGAAACAACCCAGACCGCCAGCUAAGGUCCCAAAGUCAUGGUUAAGUGGGAAACGAUGUGGGAAGGCCCAGACAGCCAGGAUGUUGGCUUAGAAGCAGCCAUCAUUUAAAGAAAGCGUAAUAGCUCACUGGUCGAGUCGGCCUGCGCGGAAGAUGUAACGGGGCUAAACCAUGCACCGAAGCUGCGGCAGCGACACUCAGGUG